This is a long non-coding RNA of Micropterus salmoides (largemouth bass), 1047 nucleotides long. RefSeq lists it as uncharacterized. Lineage: Eukaryota; Metazoa; Chordata; Actinopteri; Centrarchiformes; Centrarchidae. The transcript has 6 exons. The record is from RefSeq and is a predicted model, not a curated record.
GGAAUUAUUACUGUGAAGCCCAGAACAGAAGAGGACGUCAUAACUCCACCUUACAUCUGAUUGUUGUUGCAGGUUCAUUGAAAUUUCCAGUUGCUCUAUCAGUCAGUGCUGUUGUUCUGGUCUUCAUUCUUCUUCUCUCUGUCGUCCUGUGGAUUAGAAGAGAGAGGUCUUUGCAACAACAACCUGAGGCUGGUGAGAGACCACACAACAGAGCAGAGGAGACAGAUGAACUUCAGUAUGCAAGCGUACAGUGCGUUAGGAACCAGCCAGAGGCUCUCUACUCCAACUUCAGCCCAGCUCAGCCCCUCAGAAACGAGGAGGAGGUUGUUUACGCGACCCCCAUCUUCAACAGUGCCGCAGGAACAAGGCGUCAAGCAGCUGUGGAGGAUGUAUCUGCCCUGUACAGCAGAGUUAAUAGAAGCCACUGAGUGUGAUGACAACAUGGAUCUGUGGACAGCGUUUCCUUCCUGAGCUGCCGUGACAGAGGGGACAGGGACAGAAGAGGGAAUAUCCUAAUGAAGAAGACUGUAAUAGACUUCUAACUUUGUUUGUCUAAACCAGACAUCAUAUUAUCAGAUACUAAUUGGAGUGUAUUUCUGCACAGACUGAGGACUGCUUGUUCUGAAUCAGCAAUUUUCUUAAAAAAGUCAAAUCUUCAUGUGGCAGAUAAAAGUCUGCUGAGCACCUUCUGAUUCCAUACAAACAGUUAGUGAUCCACAACUCAAAGAAAGACUCCUAAAUUUCCAAUAGUUCCUUUUGCAAGCACAGAAACAAAUGUUUAAUAUAUGAACUCUCCUUCAGAAAGCAAUGAGGUGAUCAGUAGCAGUAGCCAGCUGCCCACAGAGGUAACCACACCUGCCUGUAAAAUCUCUCAAGCUGUUUGUGUCUGUGAGGGAAUUUAGGCCAGGUUAAUGGAGGUGACCUGUCACACUUAACCUGUCUUCUUACGUCUCGUGUCUCACGCCUCAUGUCUCUGGCAGGGUGCUGCUGAAAACGACACAAAACCGAGGAAGUUGACAUGAUGUGGACGAGUUUAGAGUUAAAUCA